This 77-nucleotide transfer RNA is filed under the name Hyphomonadaceae bacterium. Its description in RNAcentral is "tRNA-Pro". It matches the Rfam family "tRNA". From Rfam's summary of the family: Transfer RNA (tRNA) molecules are approximately 80 nucleotides in length. Their secondary structure includes four short double-helical elements and three loops (D, anti-codon, and T loops). Lineage: Bacteria; Pseudomonadati; Pseudomonadota; Alphaproteobacteria; Hyphomonadales; Hyphomonadaceae. The record is from RNAcentral.
CGGAGUGUGGCGCAGUCUGGUAGCGCAUCUGCUUUGGGAGCAGAGGGUCGGAGGUUCGAAUCCUCUCACUCCGACCA